Molecule: ribosomal RNA, 1099 nt
Filed under: Lactobacillus delbrueckii subsp. bulgaricus
Lineage: Bacteria; Bacillati; Bacillota; Bacilli; Lactobacillales; Lactobacillaceae
Description: partial 23S ribosomal RNA
Rfam family: Bacterial large subunit ribosomal RNA
Source: RNAcentral
GCGAGGACCAUCUCGCAAGGCUAAAUACUAACCAGUGACCGAUAGUGAACCAGUACCGUGAGGGAAAGGUGAAAAGAACCCCGGGAGGGGAGUGAAAGAGAACCUGAAACCGUGUGCCUACAAGUAGUCAGAGCCCGUUAACGGGUAAUGGCGUGCCUUUUGUAGAAUGAACCGGCGAGUUGCGUUAGUCAGCAAGGUUAAGUCAGAAAAGACGGAGCCGUAGCGAAAGCGAGUCUGAAGAGGGCGAGCAGUUGGCUGACGCAGACCCGAAACCAAGUGACCUACCCAUGACCAGGUUGAAGGCGCGGUAAAACGCGCUGGAGGACCGAACCCACGUAAGUUGAAAAUUGCGGGGAUGAGUUGUGGGUAGCGGUGAAAUUCCAAACGAACUUGGAGAUAGCUGGUUCUCUCCGAAAUAGCUUUAGGGCUAGCCUCGCAAAGAGGAUGCUGGAGGUAGAGCUCUGUUUGGACUAGGGGCCCGUCAAGGGUUACUGAAUUCAGAUAAACUGCGAAUUCCAGACAUUUAUGUGCGGGAGUCAGACUGCGAGUGAUAAGAUCCGUAGUCGAAAGGGAAACAGCCCAGAUCACCAGUUAAGGUCCCAAAAUUCAUGCUAAGUGGAAAAGGAUGUGGAGUUGCGCAGACAACUAGGACGUUGGCUCAGAAGCAGCCAUCAUUCAAAGAGUGCGUAAUAGCUCACUAGUCGAGUGACGCCGCGCCGAAAAUUUACCGGGGCUAAGCAUGAUACCGAAACUGUGGAUGUGCAUUUAUGCACGUGGUAGGAGAGCGUUCUAGCGGCGGUGAAGCAUGACCGAGAGGACAUGUGGAGCUUCUAGAAGUGAGAAUGCCGGUAUGAGUAACGAAAGACAGGUGAGAAUCCUGUCCGCCGCAAGACUAAGGUUUCCUGGGGCAGGCUCGUCCGCCCAGGGUAAGUCGGGACCUAAGGCGAGGCCGAGAGGCGUAGUCGAUGGACAACAGGUUGAAAUUCCUGUACUGCACCGAAUCGUUAUGAGCGAUGGAGGGACGCAGGAGGCUAGCAGCGCGUGGUGCUGGAUACCACGUUCAAGCGUCAAGUCUGAGAGUGAGUCAAAUGCUUGCUCU